AGAGUUUGAUCCUGGCUCAGGACGAACGCUGGCGGCGUGCCUAAUACAUGCAAGUCGAACGCAUUUUCUUUCACCGUAGCUUGCUACACCGAAAGAAAAUGAGUGGCGAACGGGUGAGUAACACGUGGGUAACCUGCCCAUCAGCGGGGGAUAACACUUGGAAACAGGUGCUAAUACCGCAUAAUUUCAUUUACCGCAUGGUAGACGGAUGAAAGACGCUUUUGCGUCACUGAUGGAUGGACCCGCGGUGCAUUAGCUAGUUGGUGGGGUAACGGCCUACCAAGGCUGCGAUGCAUAGCCGACCUGAGAGGGUGAUCGGCCACACUGGGACUGAGACACGGCCCAGACUCCUACGGGAGGCAGCAGUAGGGAAUCUUCGGCAAUGGACGCAAGUCUGACCGAGCAACGCCGCGUGAGUGAUGAAGGUUUUCGGAUCGUAAAGCUCUGUCUUUGGGGAAGAUAAUGACGGUACCCAAGGAGGAAGCCACGGCUAACUACGUGCCAGCAGCCGCGGUAAUACGUAGGUGGCGAGCGUUAUCCGG
This 542-nucleotide ribosomal RNA is filed under the name uncultured bacterium. RNAcentral describes it as "bacterial SSU rRNA". It matches the Rfam family "Bacterial small subunit ribosomal RNA", at positions 8 to 548 of the family's 1533-position model. The record is from RNAcentral.